RNAcentral lists this long non-coding RNA (325 nucleotides) under Mytilus galloprovincialis (Mediterranean mussel). Lineage: Eukaryota; Metazoa; Mollusca; Bivalvia; Mytilida; Mytilidae. The record is from RNAcentral.
UUCGGCCAAAUAAAUUUAUGUUUUUGGGUUGAUUUUUGUACCAUAUCAUAAAGUAACAACUAAUAGAAUAUUAAAUAAAAUUUGAAAUGAAAAAACAAAUGUUUCAAUUUUUGCUGAUUUUUUUGUACCCUCGAGCCCCUUUAAAGUGACCAGCAAAAGAGGUGAUUUGAUUGAAGAGAAUAAACGAAUCCUUGUUUUAGUUAACAUCUUAUGUGAGACUUCUUUUUUAUAAAUAUUUAAGACUACCGGAAGAAUCUUAUAAAUAGAUCGAGAUCACCAGAAUUCUGCAGUCAGAAUAUCUUUACUAAGUAAUAUUCAAAACACA